This 221-nucleotide ribosomal RNA is filed under the name uncultured bacterium. RNAcentral describes it as "partial 16S ribosomal RNA". It matches the Rfam family "Bacterial small subunit ribosomal RNA", at positions 15 to 213 of the family's 1533-position model. The record is from RNAcentral.
GAUCCUGGCUCAGGACGAACGCUGGCGGCGUGCCUAACACAUGCAAGUCGAACGAAGCUCGAUGCUUUGAGGUUUCGGCCAAGAAGCAAAGAUGACUUAGUGGCGAACGGGUGAGUAAUGCGUGAGCAACCUGCCUUUCAGAGGGGGGACAACAGCUGGAAACGGCUGCUAAUACCGCAUAACACAUCGGGGUGGCAUCACCUUGAUGUCAAAGGAGCAAU